Gossypium arboreum is the source of this 86-nucleotide small nucleolar RNA. It matches the Rfam family "Small nucleolar RNA U31b". The record is from Rfam. Lineage: Eukaryota; Viridiplantae; Streptophyta; Magnoliopsida; Malvales; Malvaceae.
GGAUGUGAUGAUUGUUGUUUGACACCCAGUCAUACUUCCAUCUAUUGAUGGAAGAUGGUGAUAUCAAUCGACUUUUAAUCUGAUCC